This 85-nucleotide transfer RNA is filed under the name Natronomonas moolapensis 8.8.11. RNAcentral describes it as "tRNA-Leu (TAA) (tRNA-Leu-TAA-1-1)". It matches the Rfam family "tRNA". From Rfam's summary of the family: Transfer RNA (tRNA) molecules are approximately 80 nucleotides in length. Their secondary structure includes four short double-helical elements and three loops (D, anti-codon, and T loops). Lineage: Archaea; Methanobacteriati; Methanobacteriota; Halobacteria; Halobacteriales; Natronomonadaceae. The record is from Rfam by way of RNAcentral. RNAcentral also lists the same sequence under 1 other name.
GCGAGGGUGGCCGAGCUUGGACAAAAGCGGCGGACUUAAGAUCCGCUCCCGUAGGGGUCCGUGGGUUCGAAUCCCUCCCCUCGCA